GAUGAACGCUGGCGGCGUGCCUAACACAUGCAAGUCGAACGGAAACACAGUGAGAUUGUGCUCUUACCGGUGGCGGGUGGCGGACGGGUGACGAGUGCAUCGGAUUCUUCUUUUUCGUGGAUGAUAACGGAAGGAAGGAUACGCUAAUACCGCAUAUGACCUACCGGUGGAAGCAGUGGAUCUUCGCGGCUUUCGCGACUGUACUAGCCGCUGCCGGACUUGAUAGUUGGGUGGGUAACGGCCCAGCAAGGCAACGAUACGUAGCUGGACUGAGAGGAUGGUCGGCCACACUGGAACUGAGACACGGUCCAGACUCCUACGGGAGGCAGCAGUAGGGAAUCUUGGGCAAUGGGCGCAAGCCUGACGCAGCCAUACCGCGUGGGUGACGAAGGCCUUCGGAUCGUAAAGCCCUUUUAUUGGGGAAGAACAGCUGUAGGUUAAGACCCCGCCGUUUUGACGGUACCGAAUCAAUAAGCACCGGCUAACUACGUG
This 492-nucleotide ribosomal RNA is filed under the name uncultured bacterium. Its description in RNAcentral is "partial 16S ribosomal RNA". It matches the Rfam family "Bacterial small subunit ribosomal RNA", at positions 28 to 507 of the family's 1533-position model. The record is from RNAcentral.